This 538-nucleotide ribosomal RNA is filed under the name Enterobacter hormaechei. RNAcentral's name for it is "partial 23S ribosomal RNA". It matches the Rfam family "Bacterial large subunit ribosomal RNA", at positions 1220 to 1756 of the family's 2925-position model. RNAcentral also lists the same sequence under 5 other names. Lineage: Bacteria; Pseudomonadati; Pseudomonadota; Gammaproteobacteria; Enterobacterales; Enterobacteriaceae. The record is from RNAcentral.
GUUGUUGGGUAGGGGAGCGUUCUGUAAGCCGUUGAAGGUGUGCUGUGAGGCAUGCUGGAGGUAUCAGAAGUGCGAAUGCUGACAUAAGUAACGAUAAAGCGGGUGAAAAGCCCGCUCGCCGGAAGACCAAGGGUUCCUGUCCAACGUUAAUCGGGGCAGGGUGAGUCGACCCCUAAGGCGAGGCCGAAAGGCGUAGUCGAUGGGAAACAGGUUAAUAUUCCUGUACUUGGUGUUACUGCGAAGGGGGGACGGAGAAGGCUAUGUCAGCCGGGCGACGGUUGUCCCGGUUUAAGCAUGUAGGCGGAGGUUCCAGGUAAAUCCGGUACCUUAUUAACGCUGAGGUGUGAUGACGAGGCACUACGGUGCUGAAGUGAUAAAUGCCCUGCUUCCAGGAAAAGCCUCUAAGCAUCAGGUAACACGAAAUCGUACCCCAAACCGACACAGGUGGUCAGGUAGAGAAUACCAAGGCGCUUGAGAGAACUCGGGUGAAGGAACUAGGCAAAAUGGUGCCGUAACUUCGGGAGAAGGCACGCUGAUA